This 262-nucleotide long non-coding RNA is filed under the name Gossypium barbadense (sea-island cotton). RNAcentral's name for it is "long non-coding RNA (GBAR_LNC017995)". Lineage: Eukaryota; Viridiplantae; Streptophyta; Magnoliopsida; Malvales; Malvaceae. The record is from RNAcentral.
CAAUGUCUAUUGGAUAACCGAAACAAUAAAUUGAGCCCUACAUUGGUCAGCAAAAAUUGACAAAUGGAUGUGCUCAACACUGGUCAGUAUAACCGACAAAUGGGCUGCCCAGCAUCCCCGACUAAUAGUUGUAUAACCUUGAACUAUUCCCAUUGUAUAGCAUGCCAAUUAUACUCGACCCUACCCGAACAGUUAAUAAGGUAACAUAUUUCUCAAUUCAUUUCACAAACUAAUUCCUCAAUAUCACAUCCCAAUUUCAUCA